UACGUAGGGUGCGAGCGUUAAUCGGAAUUACUGGGCGUCAAGCGUGCGCAGGCGGUUUUGCAAGCCGGAUGUGAAAUCCCCGGGCUUAACCUGGGAAUGGCAUUUGGGACUGCAAGGCUGGAGUGCGGCAGAGGAGACUGGAAUUCCUGGUGUAGCAGUGAAAUGCGUAGAUAUCAGGAGGAACACCGAUGGCGAAGGCAGGUCUCUGGGCUGACACUGACGCUCAGGCACGAAAGCGUGGGGAGCAAACAGG
Molecule: ribosomal RNA, 253 nt
Filed under: uncultured bacterium
Lineage: Bacteria
Description: partial 16S ribosomal RNA
Rfam family: Bacterial small subunit ribosomal RNA
Source: RNAcentral